AGAGUUUGAUCCUGGCUCAGAACGAACGCUGGCGGCGUGGAUAAGACAUGCAAGUCGAACGGGGUUUAGUUUGUAGCAAUACACGCUAAAUCCAGUGGCGAACGGGUGCGUAACACGUGAGUAAUCUGCCGGGAAGUGGGGGAUAGCUCGCCGAAAGGAAUUAAUACCGCAUAUGACAAGGGAAGACAUCUUUCCGAAGUCAAAGUCGCAAGACGCUUCCUGAUGAGCUCGCGGCCUAUCAGCUAGUUGGUGAGGUAACGGCUCACCAAGGCUAUGACGGGUAGCUGGUCUGAGAGGACGACCAGCCACACUGGAACUGAGACACGGUCCAGACACCUACGGGUGGCAGCAGUCGAGAAUUUUUCACAAUGGGGGAAACCCUGAUGGAGCGACGCCGCGUGGAGGAUGAAGGUCUUCGGAUUGUAAACUCCUGUCAUGCGAGAACAAGAAAGUGAUAGUAUCGCAAGAGGAAGAGACGGCUAACUCUGUGCCAGCAGCCGCGGUAAUACAGAGGUCUCAAGCGUUGUUCGG
RNAcentral lists this ribosomal RNA (531 nucleotides) under uncultured bacterium SY1-18. RNAcentral describes it as "bacterial SSU rRNA". It matches the Rfam family "Bacterial small subunit ribosomal RNA", at positions 8 to 548 of the family's 1533-position model. The record is from RNAcentral.